AACGCGAAGAACCUUACCUGGGCUCGAACGGCUUCUCAACGGCGGUGGAAACACCGCUAUCCCUUAAAAGAGUGGAGUCGAGGUGCUGCAUGGCUGUCGUCAGCUCGUGUCGUGAGAUGUUGGGUUAAGUCCCGCAACGAGCGCAACCCUUAUCCCUAGUUGCCAUCGGGUCAAGCCGGGCACUCUAGUGAAACUGCCUCGGAUAACGAGGAGGAAGGUGGGGAUGACGUCAAGUCCUCAUGGCCUUUAUGUCCAGGGCUACACACGUGCUACAAUGGCCGGUACAAACCGUCGCAAACCCGUGAGGGGGAGCUAAUCGGAAAAAGCCGGCCUCAGUUCGGAUUGGAGUCUGCAACUCGACUCCAUGAAGCUGGAAUCGCUAGUAAUCGCGGAUCAGAACGCCGCGGUGAAUACGUUCCCGGGCCUUGUACACACCGCUAGUC
Molecule: ribosomal RNA, 443 nt
Filed under: uncultured bacterium
Lineage: Bacteria
Description: bacterial SSU rRNA
Rfam family: Bacterial small subunit ribosomal RNA
Source: RNAcentral